RNAcentral lists this ribosomal RNA (903 nucleotides) under Metarhizium sp. Its description in RNAcentral is "partial large subunit ribosomal RNA". It matches the Rfam family "Eukaryotic large subunit ribosomal RNA", at positions 36 to 962 of the family's 3401-position model. Lineage: Eukaryota; Fungi; Ascomycota; Sordariomycetes; Hypocreales; Clavicipitaceae. The record is from RNAcentral.
UAGCAUAUCAAUAAGCGGAGGAAAAGAAACCAACAGGGAUUGCCCCAGUAACGGCGAGUGAAGCGGCAACAGCUCAAAUUUGAAAUCUGGUCCCCAGGGCCCGAGUUGUAAUUUGCAGAGGAUGCUUUUGGUGAGGUGCCUUCCGAGUUCCCUGGAACGGGACGCCAUAGAGGGUGAGAGCCCCGUCUGGUUGGAUACCGAGCCUCUGUAAAGCUCCUUCGACGAGUCGAGUAGUUUGGGAAUGCUGCUCUAAAUGGGAGGUAUAUGUCUUCUAAAGCUAAAUAUUGGCCAGAGACCGAUAGCGCACAAGUAGAGUGAUCGAAAGAUGAAAAGCACUUUGAAAAGAGGGUUAAAUAGUACGUGAAAUUGUUGAAAGGGAAGCACUUAUGACCAGACUUGGCCCCGGUGAAUCAUCCAGCGGUCCCCGCUGGUGCACUUUGCCGGGGUUCAGGCCAGCAUCAGUUCGCUCCGGGGGAUAAAGGCUUUGGGAAUGUGGCUCCCUCGGGAGUGUUAUAGCCCAUUGCGUAAUACCUUGUGGCGGGCUGAGGUUCGCGCUUUAUGCAAGGAUGCUGGCAUAAUGGUCAUCAGUGACCCGUCUUGAAACACGGACCAAGGAGUCGUCUUCGUAUGCGAGUGUUCGGGUGUUAAACCCCUACGCGUAAUGAAAGUGAACGCAGGUGAGAGCCCUCCAGGGCGCAUCAUCGACCGAUCCUGAUGUUCUCGGAUGGAUUUGAGUAAGAGCAUACGGGGCCGGACCCGAAAGAAGGUGAACUAUGCCUGUAUAGGGUGAAGCCAGAGGAAACUCUGGUGGAGGCUCGCAGCGGUUCUGACGUGCAAAUCGAUCGUCAAAUAUGGGCAUGGGGGCGAAAGACUAAUCGAACCUUCUAGUAGCUGGUUUCCGCC